This 552-nucleotide long non-coding RNA is filed under the name Dromaius novaehollandiae (emu). RNAcentral describes it as "lncRNA (ENSDNVG00000007913.1)". Lineage: Eukaryota; Metazoa; Chordata; Aves; Casuariiformes; Dromaiidae. The record is from RNAcentral.
AGUUAUUCUUACAUUUUUAGUCACCUACUGUCCUGCCUCAACCAAUUAAGCAGUUGUGUUAAAACCUAUUAAAAAGCAACUGUAUUCUGCCCCAGAGGAUGUUGCAUUUAGAGAGAAGGAUUUAAACAAUUUUGAAACCUCAGACAGCUCCAGAGAGAGAUUCUGCAACUGUGUUACCAAGCAAUUAUUCCUUGUAAGCCUGGGGAAGACAGGUUAAAGGUAGAGAAAAUUUAAACAGAGGUAUGAAGGACAAUUACUGUAUCCCUUCUGCUCUAUGRCUCAGCUGCAUUCCUGUUCUUUGCAGAGGCAAAAUCACUCAUGAAUCUUAAACAGCUUUUGCACAGAAUGAGCUCAACUAAUGAAAAAACACAGAAGAUUGCCAUAAUCUCUUGAAUCUAAGGAGUAAUGUAGAGCACUGAUUCCAUCAGGAUGAGAAAAAAAGAAAGACUGAGAAAGAUGGCCAGGUGCCUUAUGAAGGUUUGUAAUAUAUUUCUUAAGAAAACGUAGGGGAGGGAGAGGUGACACUAUUUGAACAAUACAGUUAUUUUACAU